AUUUCGCACGACUUUACUCGCGAUUCAUCAAUUUUUCAAUGUUUAGUUCAUCUAUCCUAUUCGAUUCUAUAAUUCUAUUCGUGAUUGAAGAGUAUUUAUGGAUUGGAAUUGACUAGUUUGUCAUCUAGGUAUUGUCGAGACGUUCCGUUAGAACGACGAGUUAGGUUGAUUGUGUUUUUUUAGAUGUUUCGAAAAAGAUAUAGGUGUUGGGGCUCCAGACUGCGAAUUUUGGGGCUGUAGUGUUUCCUGUUAUGUAUUAUUGAUUAAACCUUCUCUUAUCUUUAAUUUCACUCGAACAUUGAUCCUUGA
This is a long non-coding RNA of Cucurbita moschata (crookneck pumpkin), 309 nucleotides long. RefSeq lists it as uncharacterized. Lineage: Eukaryota; Viridiplantae; Streptophyta; Magnoliopsida; Cucurbitales; Cucurbitaceae. The record is from RefSeq and is a predicted model, not a curated record. The transcript has 2 exons.